Long non-coding RNA from Triplophysa dalaica, 2220 nucleotides. RefSeq lists it as uncharacterized. The transcript is spliced from 2 exons. The record is from RefSeq and is a predicted model, not a curated record. NCBI's taxonomy places the organism in Eukaryota, Metazoa, Chordata, Actinopteri, Cypriniformes, Nemacheilidae.
GCCAAAUUCAGUGGUCCAUAACUUAAAAGUAAUAAAGUAAAAAUGUCUGCUUUUUGGCUAGGUGGUAGUCAAGGAUACAGGGUAUAACCCCAAUGUAGGCCUCUAAACGCACCUUCAAAUAAAGUUGAGAUAUUGCACCCCAAAAUGUGCCAAAAGUGCUCUUUCAAACUGAUUUGUAUUGGUACUUAUAUCUUAUUCAUAUGUCUCAUGUACCUUCCAAUAACUUCAUGUGUCCAUGACAAAAAACUGCAACAGUAGAGAUGUCCACAUGUCUGUAAAAGCACCAUGUAAGUCAUAUCUAGUAUAAACAGCAGGAUGGUACAUUGAAAUGUUGUUGUGUCGUUAUAUUUCAUAAUAUUAAAAUUCAAAAAUUCUAAUGACUUUUAUUGUCACUCUAGCAUAUGCACAAUGCAACAGUAGGUGAGAAGCUUGUGUGCAAUUCCAACCAAUAUAGCGAAUCUAACAGUCAAAGGACAAUGAAUACAAUAAACAUAUCUGUACAAAAACACAGUUCUAACAAUAGUCGUUUUCUGUACAUACAACAAGUGACAAAGUUUACAUAAAUCUAUAUACAUGUAACUACAUAGUAGCAAUACAUUUUUGUAUAACGCACUGGAUGAGACUAAUAAGAGUAUAAUAAAUUGUAUAAGAGCAAUGGAUCAAACAAACAAUCUAAUAAGCUUUAUUUGCCUAUUGUGCACACACAGACAAUCAAGGUGUUGUGGUUUAACGAGCUCAGAAUGAACAAAUACAGUAUAGACCAACACAGGAAAUGAAAAAAAAUACAUAUAGAACAAAAAUAGAAAUACAUCAAAGAUGAAAAUAAUUAAUUUACUGUGGUGAUGCGAUCGCCCGAUCUACCUAUGCUUGAUGAAAUGGUACGGUCCAGGAGUAUAAAAGUAGGCAGCACUGGUAGGCCAGAUAGGUGUGUCCUACAGGACUUCAGGAAGUGUCGUCAUUUCCGGUGGGUUGGGCUACACGUCUAGCAGGUAAGAGCUACCAGUGGCAGUUAAAGUAUAGAGAUUUAAUGUCGAACAGGGUAAAUGGAGAUUCAUUUAAUUACAGUGUGGCUGAGGAGUACUGCGGGCACUUUUGAAUGGCUGGUUAUUUUUCGGCGAGCUAUUAGACAAGUUCCGCGUCCAGUGCGUGGUGCAUUACGGGUUAUUGGCUGCAGUGACUUGGGGUGUUGGAGGUGUUGCAGCAGGCUGAACCGGCGCCACUUAGAGGUUGAAUCUAUGUCAGUUAAAUGCUGAACCUACGCUAUUAGAAGGCUGAACUGGCUUCAUUUGAAGACUGUGAUUCUCCCUUAUGGAGUAGCGCUAUCAUAUUAUCUGCACGUACAAUGACUGUCUGAACUGGAGUGUUUCUGGACGGGAGAUCAACAGUGUCACCACUAUCCGUGCUGCUUUGUUCAUUUACCUUCCCUCUCGUCUAACUUCGUAGCGGAUACCUGAAGCGGGUUGUAUUCCUGACCGGAGACAGACAGCGUUACGAUUGUUUGCAUGGAUUUGUUCAAUUUACCUGCUUUCUCAUCUAACUUCGUAGCGGAUGCCUGAACCGGGUUAUUCCCGGACGAAGUGGACAGUUCGCUGCUUUUCGGGUUGAUUCACGUGAUCUCUCUCUCUCUCUCUCUGCCGCGCCUGAGACCGUGUCUUUGUUCCGGGUCUUAGGCGAGUGAUACUCUUACUUAAGGGACAGAAACUUCUAGAAAUUACUAAUUAUUUUGUUUCCCUCGACGUGCCUAUGUGAAGCGUUCCGCUUCUCGCUGCUGAUAAGGCUAUAGGUAACGACAUUGAACUCUCUUUAUUUUUUUCCUCCCUCUGAGGACUUCGAGAGGGGUGAUUACCGGACUAGGGGUGAUAUGUGAAUUAUAAUCUGCUAUUUUGUGGUUAAUUUGUUUUGUUUAAAGUGAUUUUGUUUUGAAUUUGUUUGUUUGUUUUAUUAAUUUUCUCCUGUCCUAGAAUUGGGGAAUUGGUCGCGGCCGAGAUCCUCUGUGUGUGGUGCUGUGGUUGGUCUGGUUGCAGUGUUCACAACAGAGAUGUUUUGGCGUGUGGUGACGUGAGUGAGCACAAUGGUUGCUGAGUGUUUGGAUCCAUCGGACGCCUUUUUUCGUUUGAGUGUUUUUAGUAUUAAUAAUUUGAUGGCAUGAGUUUUAAGGCUUUAAAUUAAAUGUUAACUGGUAUUUUAUAUUGACUGUGAAAUAAAUGGUUUGCCAUCUCC